AUUGAACGCUGGCGGCAGGCCUAACACAUGCAAGUCGAACGGUAACAGGAAGCAGCUUGCUGCUUCGCUGACGAGUGGCGGACGGGUGAGUAAUGUCUGGGAAACUGCCUGAUGGAGGGGGAUAACUACUGGAAACGGUAGCUAAUACCGCAUAACUUCUCAAGACCAAAGAGGGGGACCUUAGGGCCUCUUGCCAUCGGAUGUGCCCAGAUGGGAUUAGCUAGUAGGUGGGGUAACGGCUCACCUAGGCGACGAUCCCUAGCUGGUCUGAGAGGAUGACCAGCCACACUGGAACUGAGACACGGUCCAGACUCCUACGGGAGGCAGCAGUGGGGAAUAUUGCACAAUGGGCGCAAGCCUGAUGCAGCCAUGCCGCGUGUAUGAAGAAGGCCUUCGGGUUGUAAAGUACUUUCAGCGGGGAGGAAGGGAGUAAAGUUAAUACCUUUGCUCAUUGACGUUACCCGCAGAAGAAGCACCGGCUAACUCCGUG
This 490-nucleotide ribosomal RNA is filed under the name uncultured bacterium. Its description in RNAcentral is "partial 16S ribosomal RNA". It matches the Rfam family "Bacterial small subunit ribosomal RNA", at positions 30 to 507 of the family's 1533-position model. The record is from RNAcentral.